GAACCUGCGAAAGGAUCAUUA
This 21-nucleotide ribosomal RNA is filed under the name Caulerpa racemosa. RNAcentral describes it as "partial 18S ribosomal RNA". Lineage: Eukaryota; Viridiplantae; Chlorophyta; Ulvophyceae; Bryopsidales; Caulerpaceae. RNAcentral also lists the same sequence under 1 other name. The record is from RNAcentral.